Molecule: long non-coding RNA, 235 nt
Organism: Lampris incognitus (smalleye Pacific opah)
Lineage: Eukaryota; Metazoa; Chordata; Actinopteri; Lampriformes; Lampridae
Exons: 3
Source: RefSeq, a predicted model, not a curated record
AGAACCUCCAGCCUGUCACAGUCACCAGGGCAUAGACGCUGUCGUGUGUGUCUCGGAGGAAGAACAUAUCCUGAUCUAGGAGUCAUAGCAGCGAGAUACAACUCCACUGCUUUGUGAAGGGGGAAGACACAUCUUCAGGAGACCUGGAAGGAGGAAUCGUGACGUCACUUUGGGCAGGACCGAAAACUGGCUUUUCUUUUUAGCUCACCUACAGUGGCUGGAAACACAGACGGAG